RNAcentral lists this ribosomal RNA (440 nucleotides) under uncultured bacterium. RNAcentral's name for it is "bacterial SSU rRNA". It matches the Rfam family "Bacterial small subunit ribosomal RNA", at positions 338 to 795 of the family's 1533-position model. The record is from RNAcentral.
CCUACGGGUGGCAGCAGUGGGGAAUAUUGGACAAUGGGCGCAAGCCUGAUCCAGCCAUGCCGCGUGAGUGAUGAAGGCCCUAGGGUUGUAAAGCUCUUUCGGCGGGGAAGAUAAUGACGGUACCCGCAGAAGAAGCCCCGGCCAACUUCGUGCCAGCAGCCGCGGUAAUACGAAGGGGGCUAGCGUUGCUCGGAAUCACUGGGCGUAAAGCGCACGUAGGCGGGUCCUUAAGUCGGGGGUGAAAUCCUGGAGCUCAACUCCAGAACUGCCUUCGAUACUGAGGACCUCGAGUCCGGGAGAGGUGAGUGGAACUCCGAGUGUAGAGGUGAAAUUCGUAGAUAUUCGGAAGAACACCAGUGGCGAAGGCGGCUCACUGGCCCGGUACUGACGCUGAGGUGCGAAAGCGUGGGGAGCAAACAGGAUUAGAUACCCCGGUAGUC